UCCUACGGGGGGCAGCAGUGAGGAAUAUUGGUCAAUGGGCGCGAGCCUGAACCAGCCAAGUCGCGUGAGGGAUGACGGUCCUACGGAUUGUAAACCUCUUUUGCCGGGGAGCAAGCGUGCGUUCGUGAACGCGCGUCGAGAGUACCCGGAGAAAAAGCAUCGGCUAACUCCGUGCCAGCAGCCGCGGUAAUACGGAGGAUGCGAGCGUUAUCCGGAUUUAUUGGGUUUAAAGGGUGCGUAGGCGGAAUGCCAAGUCAGCGGUAAAAUCGCGGGGCUCAACCUCGCUCCGCCGUUGAAACUGGCGU
Molecule: ribosomal RNA, 305 nt
Filed under: uncultured bacterium
Lineage: Bacteria
Description: bacterial SSU rRNA
Rfam family: Bacterial small subunit ribosomal RNA
Source: RNAcentral